GAUGAACGCUGGCGGCGUGCUUAACACAUGCAAGUCGAACGGAAAGGCCCUGCUUUUGUGGGUCGCUCGAGUGGCGAACGGGUGAGUAACACGUGAGUAACCUGCCCUUGACUUUGGGAUAACUUCAGGAAACUGGGGCUAAUACCGGAUAGGAGCUCCUGCUGCAUGGGGGGGGUUGGAAAGUUUCGGCGGUUGGGGAUGGACUCGCGGCUUAUCAGCUUGUUGGUGGGGUAGGGGCUUACCAAGGCUUUGACGGGUAGCCGGCCUGAGAGGGGGACCGGCCACAUUGGGACUGAGAGAGGGCCCAGACGCCAACGGGAGGCAGCAGGGGGAAGUAUUGCGCAAUGGGGCGAAGCCUGAGGCAGCAACGUCGCGUGCGGGAUGACGGCCUUCGGGUGGUAAACCGCUUUCUCCUGUGAUGAAGAGGGCGUGACGGUAAUGGGUAAAGAAGCACCGGCUAACUACGUG
RNAcentral lists this ribosomal RNA (468 nucleotides) under uncultured bacterium. RNAcentral describes it as "partial 16S ribosomal RNA". It matches the Rfam family "Bacterial small subunit ribosomal RNA", at positions 28 to 507 of the family's 1533-position model. The record is from RNAcentral.